This 1948-nucleotide long non-coding RNA is filed under the name Lactuca sativa (garden lettuce). Its description in RNAcentral is "long non-coding RNA (LSAT_LNC010222)". The record is from RNAcentral. Lineage: Eukaryota; Viridiplantae; Streptophyta; Magnoliopsida; Asterales; Asteraceae.
AGAUCAAGCACGCAGUAGUGGUGAAAGUUAUGGGAAGAACUGGAUCAAGAGGUCAGGUGACCCAAGUGAGAGUGAAGUUUCUUGAUGAUCAGAAUCGUUUUAUCAUGAGAAACGUCAAGGGACCCGUCAGAGAAGGUGAUGUUCUUACCUUGCUAGAGUCCGAGAGGGAGGCAAGAAGGUUGCGUUGAUUUUUUUUUUUGACUUAUUUUUCAUAUUCGUAAGCCCUCUUCGUUUUGAUUUCGAUGUAUUGUGAGACUCGGUUUUGAAAGUUGUUUGAGUGAAAUGAUUUGGUGAAUGUUAAGUGUUAUUCUAUUUGAAUUUAGAAGUAAACUUUUGAGUUUUGAUAUACCUUGUUAGGGUUGCAUAUUUUGAAUGGAGAAUUCAUCAAUUGCCUAUAGAAGUUCUUAUGGUAUUCUAGAUAGCUUUUUUUUUAUUGGAAUGAAUAAAACUCAUGUAGGUAUUUUUUUAGUUGCUUACAUUUUUAUAAUUUAGGAUAAAAGCCUAUAUGUAGAUUUUGAGCGACUUGUUGAAAAUCUUCGUAGUAGUGGUUGGUUUAAGGAGAAAUUUAUUGAAAUUCCAAGUUAGUUGAAUGAGGUAACUAAAGCAUAAUCCUAGUGAAUAUAGUGCUCCAAAGCCAAUAGAAGGGAACGACUGCAAUUCUAUGUUUAUAUCGUUUUUGUUUUAUAAAUGAAAAUGAAAAGUUUGUUUUUGGAUGACAAUGGCCUUGGCAUGAAAAUUGCCGAUUUGUAGUUUUACUUCAAAAUCAUCUGGUUUUAUAAAUGAUUUAUGUUUACCAUUAUAGUGUCUUACCCUAAACUUACAGGCUUUUGUCUGCAAUUAGAAUUUUAUUUGAUUAUCCUUGAUUUUAUUUAUUGUUCUACUUAAAUACCUUCAAUUUAGAUAUUGUUUUAUUUUAAUAUGUUUAGUAUGGAAAAUAUAAAAAAGUAAACUACAUAAAUCAUUUGGAGGGUGUUUGGGAGUGAUUUUUUAACUAGAAAAGUGAUUUUAGAUAAAAGUGCUUAUUUGCUUAUAGUGGUGGUAAAAAAAGUUUUUUAAAAAGUGUUUGGAUUGACUUAAAAAGUGUUUUUUGAAGUUAUUUUGGCUGAAAGCCAUAAGCAGUUUCAAAAAGCCACGUAUUAAAAUAGUUUGCCAAACACUUAUUUUUGACUUAUUAGCUUUUCAAAAAGCCAAUAAGCAAAUAAGCAUUUUUCAAACGCAAUCCCAAACGCCCCUUUGGUUUUGCCUAACUUACAGGCUUUUGUCUUUGUCCCUAUCAAGAUUUUUUCACUCGGAUAAUAUAAGCUGUUUUAUUUUGUUUUGAUUUCGGUGUUGAAAGGACUAUUUUGCAUUUUAUAUAUAUUUAUAAAGUUACAAGGUUGAAUUUUAAGAACUUUUGGCGAUAAUGGUGGAAGUCCAAAAGUUUUGGAAGUUAUCAAGUUACAAGGUUGAAUUUUAAGAACUUUUGGCGAUUACAAUAUAAAUAUGAUAUAAAAUUAUGUAGUAUGAUCAGAAUCGUUUUAUCAUGAGAAACGUCAAGGGACCCGUCAGAGAAGGUGAUGUUCUUACCUUGCUCGAGUCCGAGAGGGAGGCAAGAAGGUUGCGUUGAUUUUUUUUUUUUUUUUUUGACUUAUUCGUAAGCCCUCUUCGUUUUGAUUUCGAUGUAUUGUGAGACUCGGUUUUGAAAGUUGUUUGAGUGAAAUGAUUUGGUGAAUGUUAAGUGUUAUUCUAUUUGAAUUUAGAAGUAAACUUUUGAGUUUUGAUAUACCUUGUUAGGGUUGCAUAUUUUGAAUGGAGAAUUCAUCAAUUGCCUAUAGAAGUUCUUAUGGUAUUCUAGAUAGCUUUUUUUUUUAUUGGAAUGAAUAAAACUCAUGUAGGUAUUUGUUUAGUUGCUUACAUUUUUAUAAAUAAGGAUAAAAGCCUAUAUGUAGAUUUUGAGCGACUUGUUGAA